Molecule: ribosomal RNA, 532 nt
Filed under: uncultured bacterium
Lineage: Bacteria
Description: partial 16S ribosomal RNA
Rfam family: Bacterial small subunit ribosomal RNA
Source: RNAcentral
UGGGGAAUUUUGGACAAUGGGCGAAAGCCUGAUCCAGCAACGCCGCGUGUGUGAAGAAGGCCUUCGGGUUGUAAAGCACUUUUGUCCGGAAAGAAAUCCUUGGCUCUAAUACAGUCGGGGGAUGACGGUACCGGAAGAAUAAGCACCGGCUAACUACGUGCCAGCAGCCGCGGUAAUACGUAGGGUGCAAGCGUUAAUCGGAAUUACUGGGCGUAAGCGUGCGCAGGCGGUUUGCUAAGACCGAUGUGAAAUCCCCGGGCUCAACCUGGGAACUGCAUUGGUGACUGGCAGGCUAGAGUGUGGCAGAGGGGGGUAGAAUUCCACGUGUAGCAGUGAAAUGCGUAGAGAUGUGGAGGAAUACCGAUGGCGAAGGCAGCCCCCUGGGCCAAUACUGACGCUCAUGCACGAAAGCGUGGGGAGCAAACAGGAUUAGAUACCCUGGUAGUCCACGCCCUAAACGAUGUCACUAGUUGUUGGGGAUUCAUUUCCUAGUAACGUAGCUAACGCGUGAAGUUGACCGCCUGGGGAGUAC